RNAcentral lists this ribosomal RNA (475 nucleotides) under uncultured anaerobic ammonium-oxidizing bacterium. RNAcentral's name for it is "bacterial SSU rRNA". It matches the Rfam family "Bacterial small subunit ribosomal RNA", at positions 365 to 832 of the family's 1533-position model. The record is from RNAcentral.
UUCGCAAUGCCCGAAAGGGUGACGAAGCGACGCCGCGUGUGGGAAGAAGGCCUUCGGGUUGUAAACCACUGUCGGGAGUUAAGAAAUGCAAGGGUGCUAAUAGUAUCCUUGCUUGACUAAGGCUCCGGAGGAAGCCACGGCUAACUCUGUGCCAGCAGCCGCGGUAAUACAGAGGCGGCAAGCGUUGUUCGGAAUUAUUGGGCGUAAAGAGCACGUAGGCGGCUAUGUAAGUCGGUUGUGAAAGCCUUCCGCUCAACGGAAGAACAGCAUCCGAUACUGCAUGGCUUGAGUGCGGGAGGGAGAGUGGAACUUCUGGUGGAGCGGUGAAAUGCGUAGAUAUCAAGGGGAACGCCGGCGGCGCAAGCGGCUCUCUGGACUGCUACUGACGCUGAGGUGCGAGAGCUAGGGGAGCAAAAAGGAUUAGAUACCCUUGUAGUCCUAGCUGUAAACGAUGGGCACUAAGUAGAGGGGUUUU